RNAcentral lists this unclassified non-coding RNA (400 nucleotides) under uncultured Paracoccaceae bacterium. Its description in RNAcentral is "uncultured Rhodobacteraceae bacterium contains 16S-23S intergenic spacer region". Lineage: Bacteria; Pseudomonadati; Pseudomonadota; Alphaproteobacteria; Rhodobacterales; Paracoccaceae. The record is from RNAcentral.
UUGGACUACUGGGGUAUCUAAUCCUGUUUGCUCCCCACGCUUUCGCACCUCAGCGUCAGUAUCGAGCCAGUGAGCCGCCUUCGCCACUGGUGUUCCUCCGAAUAUCUACGAAUUUCACCUCUACACUCGGAAUUCCACUCACCUCUCUCGAACUCCAGACUGAUAGUUUCAAAGGCAGUUCCAAGGUUGAGCCCUGGGAUUUCACCUCUGACUUUCCAGUCCGCCUACGUGCGCUUUACGCCCAGUAAUUCCGAACAACGCUAGCCCCCUCCGUAUUACCGCGGCUGCUGGCACGGAGUUAGCCGGGGCUUCUUCUGCUGGUACCGUCAUUAUCUUCCCAGCUGAAAGAGCUUUACAACCCUAAGGCCUUCAUCACUCACGCGGCAUGGCUAGAUCAGGG